RNAcentral lists this ribosomal RNA (167 nucleotides) under uncultured rumen bacterium. RNAcentral describes it as "partial 16S ribosomal RNA". It matches the Rfam family "Bacterial small subunit ribosomal RNA", at positions 340 to 524 of the family's 1533-position model. The record is from RNAcentral.
UACGGGAGGCAGCAGUGGGGAAUAUUGCACAAUGGGGGGAACCCUGAUGCAGCGACGCCGCGUGAAGGAAGAAGUAUCUCGGUAUGUAAACUUCUAUCAGCAGGGAAGAAAAUGACGGUACCUGACUAAGAAGCCCCGGCUAACUACGUGCCAGCAGCCGCGGUAAU